This 77-nucleotide transfer RNA is filed under the name Clostridia bacterium. RNAcentral describes it as "tRNA-Asp". It matches the Rfam family "tRNA". From Rfam's summary of the family: Transfer RNA (tRNA) molecules are approximately 80 nucleotides in length. Their secondary structure includes four short double-helical elements and three loops (D, anti-codon, and T loops). The record is from RNAcentral. RNAcentral also lists the same sequence under 1 other name. Lineage: Bacteria; Bacillati; Bacillota; Clostridia.
GGUCCGGUAGUUCAGUUGGUUAGAACGCCAGCCUGUCACGCUGGAGGUCAUGGGUUCGAGCCCCAUUCGGAUCGCCA